RNAcentral lists this unclassified non-coding RNA (260 nucleotides) under plant metagenome. RNAcentral describes it as "partial contains small subunit ribosomal RNA, internal transcribed spacer 1, and 5.8S ribosomal RNA". The record is from RNAcentral.
UUUCCGUAGGUGAACCUGCGGAAGGAUCAUUACCGAAUUGUCAAACGGGUUGUUGCUGGUCUUCAAACGGGGACAUGUGCACGCUCUGUUUACACAUCCACUCACACCUGUGCACCCUCCGUAGUUCUAUGGUCUGGGGGACCCUGUCUUCCUGCCGUGGUUCUACGUCUUUACACACACUCUGUAAUAAAGUCUCAUGGAAUGUAUGCCGCGUCUAACGCAAUACAUUACAACUUUCAGCAACGGAUCUCUUGGCUCUC